Molecule: long non-coding RNA, 1021 nt
Filed under: Zea mays
Lineage: Eukaryota; Viridiplantae; Streptophyta; Magnoliopsida; Poales; Poaceae
Description: long non-coding RNA (ZMAY_LNC000174)
Source: RNAcentral
GCCCACCACCCGCUCCGGCCGGCUCUUAGCUGCAUGCUCGCGCCGCCCUCCUCUCCAUCAUCCAGUGCUCUCUCCUCUUGCGAUUCGCUCGCUCGAUCCUAGCUUCCCUUCCAAGAAGCGCAGCGCCCAUGGCCAUGGCCACGCAAGCCUCCGCCGCCACGCGCCACCUGCUGGCCGCCGCCUGGGCGCCGGCGGCGAAGCCGCGGCAGCUGAGCUCGCAGCUCGCGCUGCCGUCGUCGUCCUCCCGCGGGCCGGCCCCGCUCCGCGCGUCCACCGAGGAGGCGGUGGAGGCGCCCAAGGGGUUCGUGGCCCCGCAGCUGGACCCCAGCACGCCGUCCCCGAUCUUCGGCGGCAGCACGGGCGGGCUGCUCCGCAAGGCGCAGGUGGAGGAGUUCUACGUCAUCACGUGGACGUCCCCCAAGGAGCAGGUGUUCGAGAUGCCCACCGGCGGCGCCGCCAUCAUGCGGGAGGGCCCCAACCUCUUGAAGCUGGCGCGCAAGGAGCAGUGCCUGGCGCUCGGCACCAGGUUGCGCUCCAAGUACAAGAUCACCUACCAGUUCUACCGCGUCUUCCCCAACGGCGAGGUGCAGUACCUCCACCCCAAGGACGGCGUCUACCCGGAGAAGGUCAACCCCGGCAGGGAGGGCGUCGGCCAGAACUUCCGCAGCAUCGGCAAGAACGUCAACCCCAUCGACGUCAAGUUCACCGGCAAGGCCACCUUCGACUAAUCACACUUCACGUACGCCGCACGCCCCAGCCGGGAUCCAAAUUAAAGAACUUCUUCUUCUAUUAAUUACAGUAUAUUGUAAUUUGGCUGCUGGUACGGUGGUGGCAUGAUUUGAGAUGUGCAUGAUGAUCCUUGUGUAAUUUUAUUACCAAGUCUCUUCUUAUAUUUACAUGUUCAUUUGCUUGCUUCUUGCAUAACAUAACGCCUAUCGACAAUGACCAUCAUUAGUUUUAGUCCUACGUGUAUUUGAUUCAAUCUCUCCGUGUUUAUAGUAUAAAUUCAACCAAACUAAAG